GCAUCAUGAAUAUAAAACCUACCUUUCCAAGCGCGGCGGACCCGGAUGUUCUGCUCCGACACUAGGUUCCAGGUGCAGGUGUAUUUCAAUGGAGUUAAAAGUUACUGAUCCAUGAGAGGACCUUCCCUCUUAUCCCAUGACUGCUUAGUUUGCUUAAGAGCUGUUGGAGUGGGACCUUGUCAAAGGACACUGUAUCCACUGGAGCACCCUUGUCCACAUGUUGACUCCUUCCAAGAAUUCUAAUAGAUUGGCUUCCGGUUCCUGGAAGCAAGUGAUCAUGUGAGAAUGUCAGCUUUCAUUUAUAAAAGAGAGAGGAGAGUAGAAAGAAUCUUCCGUAGAAACAGCAUGAAUCUCUACUAUUGAAAGUUCAGAUCCUGUUCUGAUGUAACUCUCUCUUUGAUCUCGGACUAUUUUUCUUUGGCACUGGAUUGAAGAAUUUAAAGGAGUUGAAGAGAACCGAACUUAUAAUUCAGGAGUUAUAACAUGGGAUCUUUCAAAUAAAACCAAUGAU
Molecule: long non-coding RNA, 511 nt
Organism: Malaclemys terrapin pileata
Lineage: Eukaryota; Metazoa; Chordata; Testudines; Emydidae
Exons: 5
Source: RefSeq, a predicted model, not a curated record